This 301-nucleotide ribosomal RNA is filed under the name uncultured bacterium. RNAcentral describes it as "partial 16S ribosomal RNA". It matches the Rfam family "Bacterial small subunit ribosomal RNA", at positions 509 to 807 of the family's 1533-position model. The record is from RNAcentral.
CAGCCGCCGCGGGAAUACGAAGGGGGCUAGCGUUGCUCGGAAUGACUGGGCGUAAAGGGCGCGUAGGCGGAUGGCACAGUCAGAUGUGAAAUUCCCGGGCUUAACCUGGGGGCUGCAUUUGAUACGUGUUGUCUAGAGUGAGGAAGAGGGUCGUGGAAUUCCCAGUGUAGAGGUGAAAUUCGUAGAUAUUGGGAAGAACACCGGUGGCGAAGGCGGCGACCUGGUCCUAUACUGACGCUGAGGCGCGAAAGCGUGGGGAGCAAACAGGAUUAGAUACCCCCGUAGUCCCUGUCUCUUAUAC